This 346-nucleotide ribosomal RNA is filed under the name uncultured eukaryote. Its description in RNAcentral is "SSU rRNA". It matches the Rfam family "Eukaryotic small subunit ribosomal RNA", at positions 594 to 945 of the family's 1831-position model. The record is from RNAcentral.
AUAGCGUAUAUUAAAGUUGCUGCAGUUAAAAAGCCCGUCGUCGAACUUCAGGCCUGGCUGGGCGGUCUGCCUCACGGUACGUACUGUCCGGCUGGGUCUUACCUCUUGGUGAGCCGGCAUGCCCUUUACUGGGUGUGUCGGGGAACCAGGACUUUUACCUUGAGAAAAUUAGAGUGUUCAAAGCAGGCCUGUGCCCGAAUACAUUAGCAUGGAAUAAUAAAAUAGGACGUGCGGUUCUAUUUUGUUGGUUUCUAGAGUCGCCGUAAUGAUUAAUAGGGACAGUUGGGGGCAUUGGUAUUCCGGCGCUAGAGGUGAAAUUCUUGGAUUGCCGGAAGACUAACUACUG